RNAcentral lists this ribosomal RNA (253 nucleotides) under uncultured bacterium. RNAcentral's name for it is "partial 16S ribosomal RNA". It matches the Rfam family "Bacterial small subunit ribosomal RNA", at positions 524 to 776 of the family's 1533-position model. The record is from RNAcentral.
UACGUAGGUGACAAGCGUUGUCCGGAUUUACUGGGCGUAAAGAGCGCGCAGGCGGUCGAUCAAGUCGGAUGUGAAAGCCCCCGGCUCAACUGGGGAGGGUCAUUCGAUACUGGUCGACUCGAAGGCAGGAGAGGGAAGCGGAAUUCCCGGUGUAGUGGUGAAAUGCGUAGAUAUCGGCAGGAACACCCAGGGGGAAACCAGCCGACUGGGCAUCUGCUGACGCUGAGGUGCGAGAGCGUGGGGAGCGAACAGG